This 253-nucleotide ribosomal RNA is filed under the name uncultured bacterium. RNAcentral's name for it is "partial 16S ribosomal RNA". It matches the Rfam family "Bacterial small subunit ribosomal RNA", at positions 524 to 776 of the family's 1533-position model. The record is from RNAcentral.
UACGAAGGGGGCUCGCGUUGCUCGGAAUUACUGGGCGUAAAGCGUGCGCAGGCGGUUCGUUAAGUUCGUUGUGAAAGCCCCGGGCUCAACCUGGGAACUGCAAUGGAAACUGGCGGGCUUGAGUGUGGCAGAGAGGGGUGGAAUUCCGCGUGUAGCAGUGAAAUGCGUAGAGAUGCGGAGGAACACCGAUGGCGAAGGCAGCCCCCUGGGCCAACACUGACGCUCAGGCACGAAAGCGUGGGGAUCAAACAAG